RNAcentral lists this ribosomal RNA (371 nucleotides) under uncultured Desulfobulbus sp. RNAcentral describes it as "bacterial SSU rRNA". It matches the Rfam family "Bacterial small subunit ribosomal RNA", at positions 1014 to 1382 of the family's 1533-position model. Lineage: Bacteria; Pseudomonadati; Thermodesulfobacteriota; Desulfobulbia; Desulfobulbales; Desulfobulbaceae. The record is from RNAcentral.
CUUCCAUCUGGAAGAAUCUGGAGACAGGUGCUGCAUGGCUGUCGUCAGCUCGUGUCGUGAGAUGUUGGGUUAAGUCCCGCAACGAGCGCAACCCUUGCCUUUAGUUGCCAGCAGUUCGGCUGGGCACUCUAAAGGGACUGCCGGUGUUAAACCGGAGGAAGGUGGGGAUGACGUCAAGUCCUCAUGGCCUUUAUGACCAGGGCUACACACGUACUACAAUGGCCGAUACAAAGGGCAGCGACACUGCGAGGCGAAGCCAAUCCCGUAAAAUCGGUCUCAGUCCGGAUUGGAGUCUGCAACUCGACUCCAUGAAGUUGGAAUCGCUAGUAAUCGUGGAUCAGCAUGCCACGGUGAAUACGUUCCCGGGCCUU